GGGCCCGCACAAGCGGUGGAGCAUGUGGUUUAAUUCGAUGAUACGCGAGGAACCUUACCAGGGCUUAAAUGUAAGUUGCAUAGAUCAGAGAUGGUCUUUUCUUCGGACUACUUACAAGGUGCUGCAUGGUUGUCGUCAGCUCGUGCCGUGAGGUGUCAGGUUAAGUCCUAUAACGAGCGCAACCCCUGUCGUUAGUUACCAGCAAGUAAUGUUGGGUACUCUAGCGAGACUGCCGGUGCAAACCGUGAGGAAGGUGGGGAUGACGUCAAAUCAUCACGGCCCUUACGUCCUGGCUACACACGUGCUACAAUGGCUGGUAUAAUGGGACGCCAAACCGCGAGGUGGAGCAAA
This 351-nucleotide ribosomal RNA is filed under the name uncultured bacterium. Its description in RNAcentral is "bacterial SSU rRNA". It matches the Rfam family "Bacterial small subunit ribosomal RNA", at positions 917 to 1271 of the family's 1533-position model. The record is from RNAcentral.